This 305-nucleotide ribosomal RNA is filed under the name uncultured bacterium. Its description in RNAcentral is "bacterial SSU rRNA". It matches the Rfam family "Bacterial small subunit ribosomal RNA", at positions 338 to 660 of the family's 1533-position model. The record is from RNAcentral.
CCUACGGGGGGCAGCAGUGGGGAAUAUUGCACAAUGGGGGAAACCCUGAUGCAGCGACGCCGCGUGAGUGAAGAAGUAUUUCGGUAUGUAAAGCUCUAUCAGCAGGGAAGAAGAAAGACGGUACCUGACUAAGAAGCCCCGGCUAACUACGUGCCAGCAGCCGCGGUAAUACGUAGGGGGCAAGCGUUAUCCGGAUUUACUGGGCGUAAAGCGUGCGUAGGCGGUUUGUUAAGUCCAGAAUUAAAGCCCGAGGCUUAACCUCGGUUCGUUCUGGAUACUGGCAGGCUUGAGUAUGGUAGAGGCAA